RNAcentral lists this ribosomal RNA (891 nucleotides) under uncultured Streptococcaceae bacterium. Its description in RNAcentral is "bacterial SSU rRNA". It matches the Rfam family "Bacterial small subunit ribosomal RNA", at positions 26 to 895 of the family's 1533-position model. The record is from RNAcentral. Lineage: Bacteria; Bacillati; Bacillota; Bacilli; Lactobacillales; Streptococcaceae.
AGGAGAACGCUGGCGGCGGUGCCUUAAUACAUGCAAGUAGAACGCUGAUGUUUGGUGUUUACACUAGACUGAUGACGUUGCGAACGGGUGAGUAACGCGUAGGUAACCUGCCUCAUAGCGGGGGAUAACUAUUGGAAACGAUAGCUAAUACCGCAUAGGAGUGAUUAACACAUGUUAGUUAUUUAAAAGGAGCAAUUGCUUCACUGUGAGAUGGACCUGCGUUGUAUUAGCUAGUUGGUGAGGUAAAGGCUCACCAAGGCGACGAUACAUAGCCGACCUGAGAGGGUGAUCGGCCACACUGGGACUGAGACACGGCCCAGACUCCUACGGGAGGCAGCAGUAGGGAAUCUUCGGCAAUGGACGGAAGUCUGACCGAGCAACGCCGCGUGAGUGAAGAAGGUUUUCGGAUCGUAAAGCUCUGUUGUUAGAGAAGAACGUUGGUAGGAGUGGAAAAUCUACCAAGUGACGGUAACUAACCAGAAAGGGACCGGCUAACUACGUGCCAGCAGCCGCGGUAAUACGUAGGUCCCGAGCGUUGUCCGGAUUUAUUGGGCGUAAAGCGAGCGCAGGCGGACUUUAGGUCUGAAGUUAAAGGCAAGUGGCUUAACCAUUGUACGCUUUGGAAACUUGGAGGACUUGAGUGCAGAACGGGGGAGAGUGGAAUUCCAUGUGUACGGUGAAAUGCGUAGCAUAUAUGGAGGAACACCCGGUGGCGAAAAGCGGGAACACUGGCCUGUCAACUGACGGCUGAGGCUCGAAAGCGUGGGGAGCAAACAGGAUAGAUACCUUGGUAGUCAAGGCCGUAACGAGAUGAGUGCAACGUGUUAGGCCCAUUCCGGGCUAAGUGCGACUAACGCAUAAGACAUCCGCCUGGGAGUUCACCGCAAGUUG